AACGCACAUUGCGCUACGACAGUCAAUGUCGUAGCAUGUCUGGUCGAGUGUCGUUUCCAAACCUCACAUCACAAAGUUACAUUUGUAUGUGACACUUUAGUUGAGAGUUCAAUUCGUUUUCUAUUCUUAAAAACAGUAGAAGUCGGAUCGUCUCUUUAAAUUGAAAUGACACAGUUGUAUAUCAAAUUUGGAGCUUUAUAAGCUCAUACAUUCUGAUAUAAGACAUUUUCCUAAAGUCCCAUGUGGUAAACGCCUCAUGGUUUCAAUUGAAGGAUAUAAUGGUGUCUUAUUUUUCAUGGUAUGAACUUUUCCUUAUUUGGUGUGUCGAUUCGAAAAAACACACACAAAAGUAAACAAGCGUAAAAAACUUGUUUCUUUUAACUGAACCUUUUUUCGGACAGACCUCGGCUCAGACAAGGCUACCCGCUGAAUUUAA
Molecule: unclassified non-coding RNA, 436 nt
Filed under: uncultured fungus
Lineage: Eukaryota; Fungi
Description: partial contains ITS1, 5.8S rRNA and ITS2
Source: RNAcentral